RNAcentral lists this transfer RNA (75 nucleotides) under Rhodospirillales bacterium. RNAcentral describes it as "tRNA-Thr". It matches the Rfam family "tRNA". Rfam says of the family: Transfer RNA (tRNA) molecules are approximately 80 nucleotides in length. Their secondary structure includes four short double-helical elements and three loops (D, anti-codon, and T loops). Further hydrogen bonds mediate the characteristic L-shaped molecular structure. tRNAs have two regions of fundamental functional importance: the anti-codon, which is responsible for specific mRNA codon recognition, and the 3' end, to which the tRNAs corresponding amino acid is attached (by aminoacyl-tRNA synthetases). tRNAs cope with the degeneracy of the genetic code in two manners: having more than one tRNA (with a specific anti-codon) for a particular amino acid; and 'wobble' base-pairing, i.e. permitting non-standard base-pairing at the 3rd anti-codon position. The record is from RNAcentral. Lineage: Bacteria; Pseudomonadati; Pseudomonadota; Alphaproteobacteria; Rhodospirillales.
GCCGCCUUAGCUCAGGGGUAGAGCGCGUCAUUGGUAAUGACGAGGUCGUAAGUUCGAAUCUUACAGGCGGCACCA